RNAcentral lists this unclassified non-coding RNA (391 nucleotides) under soil metagenome. RNAcentral describes it as "partial contains 5.8S ribosomal RNA, internal transcribed spacer 2, and large subunit ribosomal RNA". The stretch from base 1 to 122 matches the Rfam family "5.8S ribosomal RNA", at positions 35 to 154 of the family's 154-position model. The record is from RNAcentral.
GAUGAAGAACGUAGCGAAAUGCGAUACUUGGUGUGAAUUGCAGAAUCCCGUGAACCAUCGAGUCUUUGAACGCAAGUUGCGCCCGAAGCCAUUAGGCCGAGGGCACGCCUGCCUGGGCGUCACACGUCGUUGCCCCCCCAUCUACUCCUUCGGGAUUGCGGGGGGCGGAUGAUGGCCUCUCGUGCGCCUCGUCGCGCGGUUGGCCUAAAUGCCAAGUCCUCGGCGACGCACGCCACGACAAUCGGUGGUUGCGAAACCUCGGUUGCCUGUCGUGUGCGGUCAUCGCGCAUCGAGGGCUCGAAAAAAUUGCCGGGCUUCGGCUCGACUUUCAACGCGACCCCAGGUCAGGCGGGGUUACCCGCUGAAUUUAAGCAUAUCAAUAAGCGGAGGA